Molecule: ribosomal RNA, 210 nt
Filed under: Clostridioides difficile
Lineage: Bacteria; Bacillati; Bacillota; Clostridia; Peptostreptococcales; Peptostreptococcaceae
Description: partial 23S ribosomal RNA
Rfam family: Bacterial large subunit ribosomal RNA
Source: RNAcentral
UGUACCAGUUGUUCUGCCAAGGGCAUGGCUGGGUAGCUAUGUACGGAAUGGAUAAGCGCUGAAAGCAUCUAAGCGCGAAGCCAACUUCAAGAUAAGAUUUCCCACCGCAAGGGUAAGACCCCAGAAAGACUAUCUGGUUGAUAGGUCGAAGGUGUAAGUGCAGCAAUGUAUUUAGCUUAUCGAUACUAAUAGGUCGAGGACUUGACCAAU